This 177-nucleotide microRNA precursor is filed under the name Citrus sinensis (sweet orange). Its description in RNAcentral is "MIR168 microRNA precursor family". It matches the Rfam family "MIR168 microRNA precursor family". Lineage: Eukaryota; Viridiplantae; Streptophyta; Magnoliopsida; Sapindales; Rutaceae. The record is from Rfam by way of RNAcentral.
UUACCGGCGGUCUCUAAUUCGCUUGGUGCAGGUCGGGAACUGAUUGGCUAGUUUUUUUUUGAAAUUUUUUGACAGCGAGGUGGCGUGUUGUAAUUGGUCGUAACGUUUAAAUUAAUGAUUGAAAAAAUGCGAAUUGGAUCCCGCCUUGCAUCAACUGAAUCGGAGACCGAGGUGAGA